Molecule: long non-coding RNA, 2718 nt
Organism: Oncorhynchus keta (chum salmon)
Lineage: Eukaryota; Metazoa; Chordata; Actinopteri; Salmoniformes; Salmonidae
Exons: 5
Source: RefSeq, a predicted model, not a curated record
CAUGACAACCAACAUAAACAAGUUUCAGUAGCUAUAUUUAUCCGUUGGUUUCACAAAACGGGGUGCCAAACCCAAGGAAAGCUGCUGCCAUUGCUUUCUGUGGGGACCAGUACUAUGAAAUAAUUGGAUAUAUUUAACAAAGCAUGGACGAAAGGUUCGAUGCUUGAAUGGAAUCUCCAGAUUCAUGGCAGCGAGGCAGAAUAAAGGUAUUGACGAGGGAGAGGUAUUACAUGGCCAUCCUCUGGGUGUUUCUCCCUUUCCACAUGCCAGGGGUUUAUACCAACCAUCUGUAAUUUUCAUGGGUCGGCAGACUUCCAGAGAGUCCAGGGCUGAAGAUGCCACCAUAAGUGUACACUUACAAGAAGCCGAGCAUCAUUCGCCCCAAUCAUCGCUCACGUGCCUCGGAAUACCGACAAAGUGGCCUUUUUGAAGGACUCCAAAGUUUCUAGAGAGGUUGUUGCCGACAGCGGAGCACAUUUAUCAGAUGACAUUUCGGGCUCAAACGAUUCCCCCGACGGCUGUAAUUUGAGUGACAAACAUGAAAGGAUGGCAGCAGUGGUUCCAUCCAGUUUAACAGCCAGCGCCAGUGUGCCUUUUGGAGGUGAUUAACAAUCUCCUACACCUCGAGUGACCUUGACGAGGCCUGAGAAGAAUAGCCUAUCAUCCCAGCAGUAUCAGCCAUAUGUCUGACAGGAAUUCACCUGCAGAAUACACUCGGUAGAGGGUCUGCCCACCAGGAUAGCAUAAAAAAAGAAGUUGGAGAGAGUCUUGCAAAGAUCACCAACUCAAACUGACUUGGGAAAAUAAUCUCAAGAUGUGCCAGAGAGGAGUGAAGACCUCAGUAUAUCCAGUUCCAGUGGAGCUGUCAGUGACCAGGAGUGGCAGUGACCUGUCAAUCUCCCUGACCGAGUCUGACCUGGCUGAGGUACCAAAGGUGCCACAGAAUGUCGUCUAUGUAGACGGCCAUAGCAGGAGGACAGACAGCCCACCAGAGGAGUGCUACACCCAGGGACAGGGAUCUCCACAGCAUCAGCAUACACAGUCAAGAAUCACUUGACACUCCAGAGCCUAGGAACAGAUCUGAACCAAGUAGAGAAUCCACGUCUUAAGGAAUACCAUUGGAAAGCUCCUGUCUCCCACCUGACGCUGCUCCUCUGUGGGAUCACUGGUUCAAGCACACCCUUCUGCUGAAGGACCACCAUGUCCUCACCACCGAGCGCCUCGUCCAGCUGUUCACUCCACUGCUACUGCCGCACAAUGCCUCCUAUAGCACCAAAGUAUGCAUCUCACAAUACACUAGUACAGUUUCUUUUACAUACAGUACAGACUCCAGGGGUUUGAAUCCCAGUUUUUUUUCCACUUCUGGCUUGUUACUGUAGCAGUCUUCAUGCACUGCAAGCACAUAGGGCUCUAAAGUGCUACCAAUUUGGUUGCAUAUGCUCUAAAAAUGUUGUUUUGCGACCUGGCAUUUUAAUUUGGGAGCACCAGUGCCUUAAAGACAAAAGCGAGCGCAUAUUUGUUAACAUCAUGGUUGUACGGAAGAGUAUUAGGGCCAAGUAAUGAAAAAAAAAAAAGAAUAAGUCUUGGUACCAGUUUAGGUUUUUUGCACAUAUAGUACUUUGAAAACUUGAAAUACAAGGAUAAAGUUGAAACUUUGAGAAUAAAGUUACAAUUAAUUUUUUAGGAUAGUGUAAAUUAAAUGGCAAUAUUUUGAGAAUAAAGUCUAUUUAACUUUACAAAUUAAAUCCAAAUAGUAAAUUAAAUGUUUUAUUUUGAAGACUUUACAUUUUAUUUAGAGAAUGAAGUAAAAAUAUUGAGAAUAAAGUUAACAUUUUGAGAAUUAAGUCGCAAUUAUAUUUCCAGAUUAAGGUAGGGAAUCUGUUUAAUUGCAUAGCUACCUGGCUCCAUGUUGCUGUGCACUGUAAAAAGGCCUUAGAUGACCUGGUAAAACCUAUGGCUUUAGUAACACGGUUUCCACCGACAUAACAUAAUGGCUAAAGCAUCUAUGCAGCAAUUUAUUGCAAUACCAUAUGGUUUCGUUUUGUCAUAUGUGUCCAUAUGCCAUAUCGCCUUGGGACCUUUGGUCGUGUACUGCCGUCAGCGUCGUACGUGCCUAAGCUUCACACCUUGAGGAUCGAUUGACCAGGCCAUCUAACUCAGGCAUUUCAACGGUGGCGUGCACAGCAACAGGGAGCCAGGGAAGGAUGCACUUCACCAAAUCCCCUACUUUAGUCUUGACAUUCAACUGUGACUUUAUUCUCCAAAAUGUUUACUUUAUUCUCUAAAUAUUGCCACUUUAUUCACGAAAUGUUACAACUUUAUUCUCAAAGUAUUUAGAGUUUUUAAAAGUACUGUCUGUGCAACAAUGAAAAAAUGUGAAGUACCACCACCCUCUAUGUAUUUUUCCUCUUCACUUGGCUGUAACAUUACAACAGUGAAAACGGCUUCUAGCCCAAACAGUUCCAAAGACAUGACUCAUAUUACCUGCACAACUUUUUCUUUCUUCCAACGGCAGAUUGGUGGUCCUUAUUUUACAUUCAGAAACCAUGUCGCGGGUCAUUUGUUUACACUUUGUACAGUCAUGUUACCUCUUAGCUAGCUAGCUAACAACCUUGUAACUUUACUAGUAGGCUAUAUCUGAACACUUAGCUAGCUAGCUAGCUAGCUAGCUAACAACCUGGUAACUUUACUAGUAGGCUAUAUCUGAACACUUAGCUA